GCCGGGUGCAGUGGUGUGCGCCUGUAAUCCCAGGUACUCUGGAGGCUGAGGCAGGAGAAUCGCUUGAACCCAGGAGGUGGAGGUUGCGGUGAGCUGAGAUCACACCACUGCACUACAGCCUGGGCUACAGAGUGAGACUUUGUCUCAA
Molecule: non-coding RNA, 148 nt
Filed under: Nomascus leucogenys (northern white-cheeked gibbon)
Lineage: Eukaryota; Metazoa; Chordata; Mammalia; Primates; Hylobatidae
Source: Rfam by way of RNAcentral